CUGCUCAGCUCCACCAGAGCCUCCAAGGAAACUCCCCGCCUCAGAGCCCCAUCCCCACUGGAGACAAUCCACUGGGAUGCCCCACGAAGAGCCCGGCUGAUCCAAACCCUGCCUCUGCGCCCCCAGUAAACUCCCCCAGAACCAAACCUUGGCUCCCUCCUAACUCAGGGAAACACGGGGGCGGGGGUGUGGCAACAGACAGGGAGUGAAAAGGGAAAAGGUUCAUUAUAUGCAAAGCAGAGGAUCCAUUUGGGCUCCAGUUAAUUCUUCCAAGGCAAAAAGUCAACAAAUAUCCUUCAUUGUUGUUAUUUUUCCUCUUCUAUCUCUCAAAGGCUCCACUCUGCCUGACUUAUGCUGCAGAUACCCCUGGUGCUUGCUUGUCUUAAUGUUGGCAAGGAAAUUGCAUGUUUUUACUUCUGGCUAAGUCUGUCUCUCCCUGCUCGAGGUUACUAUCGGGCAAAUCUUCAGAGCGAGUGUAUGGUUCUGCUUUGCAUUACUGAGUGCUGUACAGGAUAAGCCAUUAGAGCGAGUAUUGCUUUCCACUGGAACUGACAUUUUGUUGAUACUUCAUCAGACUGAAUGCUCUGGUGGCAAGGAAGAUUAAAACAGAAGAAACGGAGCUCAUGAUUGGAAUGUGUGAGAGGUGCAAACAUUUGAAGUCUUUUUAAGGACUUUAGCAUUCUUUGGAAAACCUUGAUGAAGACUACAUCAGCUGCAGCAUUCCCAAACUCCCAUGGAGGGAAAAAGGAAUAAAUUUCAGGCAGUUUAAAGGC
Molecule: long non-coding RNA, 773 nt
Organism: Mauremys reevesii (Reeves's turtle)
Lineage: Eukaryota; Metazoa; Chordata; Testudines; Geoemydidae
Exons: 3
Source: RefSeq, a predicted model, not a curated record